Molecule: ribosomal RNA, 437 nt
Filed under: uncultured bacterium
Lineage: Bacteria
Description: bacterial SSU rRNA
Rfam family: Bacterial small subunit ribosomal RNA
Source: RNAcentral
CAGGCCUAACACAUGCAAGUCGAACGAUGGUCUUCGGAUCAUAGUGGCGCACGGGUGCGUAACGCGUGGGAAUCUGCCCUGGGGUCUGGGAUAACCGUUGGAAACGACGGCUAAUACCGGAUGAUGAUGAAAAUCCAAAGAUUUAUCGCCCUGGGAUGAGCCCGCGUCGGAUUAGGUAGUUGGUGGGGUAAAGGCCUACCAAGCCGACGAUCCUUAGCUGGUCUGAGAGGAUGAUCAGCCACACUGGGACUGAGACACGGCCCAGACUCCUACGGGAGGCAGCAGUGGGGAAUAUUGGACAAUGGGCGAAAGCCUGAUCCAGCAAUGCCGCGUGAGUGAUGAAGGCCUUAGGGUUGUAAAGCUCUUUUACCCGGGAUGAUAAUGACAGUACCGGGAGAAUAAGCCCCGGCUAACUCCGUGCCAGCAGCCGCGGUAAU